Molecule: ribosomal RNA, 422 nt
Filed under: uncultured bacterium
Lineage: Bacteria
Description: bacterial SSU rRNA
Rfam family: Bacterial small subunit ribosomal RNA
Source: RNAcentral
UGAGGAAUAUUGGGCAAUGCCCGCAAGGGUGACCCAGCAACGCCGCGUGGAGGAUGAAUGUCGUAAGAUUGUAAACUCCUGUUAGAGGGGAAGAAUAGUACCGGUUGGACCGGUAUAUGACUGUACCCUCAGAGAAAGCCCCGGCUAACUACGUGCCAGCAGCCGCGGUAAUACGUAGGGGGCAAUCGUUGUCCGGAUUUACUGGGUGUAAAGGGCGCGCAGGCGGGAUAAAAAGUCAGUGGUGAAAUCCUACAGCUUAACUGUAGAACUGCCUUUGAUACUUUUAUUCUUGAGUGCGGGAUGGNGAGACGGAAUUCCAGGUGUAGUGGUGAAAUACGUAGAUAUCUGGAAGAACACCAGUUGCGAAGGCGGUCUCUUGGUCCGACACUGACGCUGAGGCGCGAAAGCGUGGGGAGCAAACA